AUGUUCCGCGUUCGGCUAGAGAAUGACACCAUCAUCCUAGGCUAUAUUUCAGGAAAGAUACGGUCUAGUUCUAUACGAAUACUGAUGGGGGAUAGGGUCAAAAUUGAAGUAAGUCGUUAUGAUUCAAGCAAGGGACGUAUAAUUUAUAGACUUCCCCAUAAGGAUUCGAAGCGUAUCGAAGACUCGAAGGAUAGCGAAGAUUUGAAGGAUAGCGAAGAUUUGAAGGAUACCAAAGAUUCAAAGGAUUAG
Molecule: ribosomal RNA, 249 nt
Filed under: Triticum aestivum (bread wheat)
Lineage: Eukaryota; Viridiplantae; Streptophyta; Magnoliopsida; Poales; Poaceae
Description: partial small subunit ribosomal RNA
Source: RNAcentral